UUGGGCUGUGUACUGGUACAGGGUUGAUGGCUGUACCGGUACAUGGUUGAUGGUUGUACUGGUACAUGAUUGUGUACCGGUACGCAGGCAGCUUCCCAGCCAACCCGAGGCUCGGGUUUGGCAUUUUCGUGGGAUGUGUACCGGUACGUGGGCCCGUGUACCGGUACGCAGUGGCAGUUUUUGAGCAGUUUGAACUGCAGGGGGUUUUUCGCAUUUGUGG
RNAcentral lists this long non-coding RNA (220 nucleotides) under Ananas comosus (pineapple). RNAcentral's name for it is "long non-coding RNA (ACOM_LNC044095)". The record is from RNAcentral. Lineage: Eukaryota; Viridiplantae; Streptophyta; Magnoliopsida; Poales; Bromeliaceae.